Molecule: long non-coding RNA, 1831 nt
Organism: Herpailurus yagouaroundi (jaguarundi)
Lineage: Eukaryota; Metazoa; Chordata; Mammalia; Carnivora; Felidae
Exons: 3
Source: RefSeq, a predicted model, not a curated record
CGGGGCGUCGUGGCGUGCACCUGCGCUUCCAGCGGCUGCAGCAGUCGCUCCCCGAACCUCGACCUUCCCCGGCCGUUCAGCCAUUUCCCCCAGCACUGUUCUUCUUUGGGCGCGGGCCCCGGUGUCGCGGAGGGAGGGCGAGUGGCCGCCUCGGGCCUGGCUCGGGCUGCCGGCUGGGCGGGGAGGCCCUGGGAGCUCUGGACAGAGGGCGAGGAACCUUCUAGAAAACGGCCGCAGGGCGGGUUGGAAGGCCCAGCAUCCUGUGGGCGAACUUGACUUGGAUCAUUUCUUGCUGUGCCUCUGGAAAUGAUGAGCAAAACGUGAACUAUGUGCCGAGGUUGACAGACGGCCCCCGAAAAGUGCAAUGUUGUAACGAAGCGCUGUGAGGAACAGUCUCCGCUGUCCCGCUGUGCGAGCUGCUCUAUUACAAUAUAUCCCCUGAGCUUCCUUCCUGGUCUGCAAAUUCAUUUUGGGUGCUCGCAUGGUAACUAUUAUCAGCCAUUGUAAUCAUGAACUGAGAGGGUAUGAAGGUCAAUGGCAAAGGAAGAUGUUCUGUGGGAAGAUUCCAGGCUCUGGGCACUUGGUCACGAACAACUGUGCGCAGAGGGCUGGACCCUUCUGGUAUUUGUCAACAAUCACAUCUCUGCUGGAGGCCCACUAAGCCUAGGUGCUCCAUCCGGUGUCCUAUUCCAAGCGGAGGUCCAGAUAAGGGUCGGAAUUUGUUCACAGUUACACAGUAGAGGUGAGACCAGGAGCCAGGCAGUCAGGUUCCAGGACUCUUUCACAGUCUCUGGUAUGUAAAUUACAUUCAAAUAGCGUGAACGCAUGCCAAGAAAUUGCAGGGAAUUCUCCUUGGGAGUCCUGUGGCUCAGACAUGUGUCAAGAUUGAUGGCAAAAGUUAAAGCCCAUGGUGACACUCAUAAGCAAAGCUAUGGCUUUACAAAAGGCACUAAACCUUGUUAUUGCAAAAGUCGGCUGGCACGUAUAUAUACUUACACACUAAUGCAUCUUAAAAAGGAAACCAAUACGUCAGCAGCUAUUUCUUUUGCAGAGGUACAAACACUAUCUCCCUGCCUAACUGUAACUAUAUAUGCUUAUAUAUGUACUUUCUUGUACAGCAGUACCUAAGUUGGUGGUAUUCAAUGCAGAAUUUUUAGAAUAGGAUUUCUCUGAUUGUUUCCAUAGGAUUCACUCUAGACCAAGGGUUAUACACAUACUCCUUCAUUCUGUGAUGGAGAGGAAUUAAUAUUGUAGUGGCUAAAAUAUGGUUAUGGACUGUGGCCACGCAGCCUUAAAUCCCAGCUCUUAAUGCCUGACGUAACCUCCCUGUAGCUUGGUUCCCUUGUGUAAAGUGGGGAUCACGCAGUACUCACUUCCUAGGAUUGUCGUGAGCAUUCACAGCACGAAAACACACAGAAUACUUCGAAAAGUGUUUGGCACUUAGCGAGGGUCCAGUUCCUAGUUUGGGGGAACUUUUGAGUAAAGCCUUCUAUUAAUAAUUUGUAUAUAGGUUCUUGGGUAAAAAAAAAAAAGUUUUUUGUGUGUUUGAAAAUAAACAUUAAUUUUACUUAGGUAAAACCUUAGAAAUAGGAUUGUUGAAUUGUAUGGAAGUGUGUGUUUAGCUUUAAAAGAAACCACAAGAAACUGCCAAAAUAUUUUCCCAUGUGACUGUGCCAUUUUGCAUCACCCCUGGCGGUAUAUAAGAAGUCCAGUCGCUCUGUAACUUUGCCACCUCUUAAAAUGUUUUUUUAGCCAUUCUAGUAGCUAUGUAGUAGUAUUUUAUUGUGGUUUGAAUUUGCUUUUCCUAAUGACUGAUAAUGCUGAGCAUCUU